UCCGGUAUAGUGUAGGGGUUAACAUAACCCGCUUUCACCGGGUAGCCCCGGGUUCGAUUCCCGGUACCGGAA
RNAcentral lists this transfer RNA (72 nucleotides) under Pseudogymnoascus destructans 20631-21. RNAcentral describes it as "tRNA-Glu (TTC) (tRNA-Glu-TTC-1-1, tRNA-Glu-TTC-1-2)". It matches the Rfam family "tRNA". Rfam says of the family: Transfer RNA (tRNA) molecules are approximately 80 nucleotides in length. Their secondary structure includes four short double-helical elements and three loops (D, anti-codon, and T loops). Further hydrogen bonds mediate the characteristic L-shaped molecular structure. tRNAs have two regions of fundamental functional importance: the anti-codon, which is responsible for specific mRNA codon recognition, and the 3' end, to which the tRNAs corresponding amino acid is attached (by aminoacyl-tRNA synthetases). tRNAs cope with the degeneracy of the genetic code in two manners: having more than one tRNA (with a specific anti-codon) for a particular amino acid; and 'wobble' base-pairing, i.e. permitting non-standard base-pairing at the 3rd anti-codon position. The record is from RNAcentral. Lineage: Eukaryota; Fungi; Ascomycota; Leotiomycetes; Thelebolales; Thelebolaceae.